UUAGUUUUGGGUAGUGCUAUCAGUUUGUUGUAUCCUUGUAAUUUUUGGGUUAUAUAAUUGGUGUUUGGUUCUUUGAUAUCUGUAGCUCUGGGGUUAUGGUUUAGGAAGGUUUGUACUCUGUAUAUAUUUUCUAUGUAUUUUUGGGAUGUGUAGUUGUAUAUUUUCUUGUCUUGGUUUAGGCUGUCUCGGUAUGUAUUAACUUGUGGGGGUAUGAAUAAAUGGUCUUUUUGUGUUUUAGGGGUAAAUGGUUUUUCGAAUAUUUUAUUCAUAUUUGCAUUUUGGUAUCUUGGUCUGUUAACUCCUUUGCUUGUACCUGCAGAAGU
Molecule: long non-coding RNA, 323 nt
Filed under: Capsicum annuum
Lineage: Eukaryota; Viridiplantae; Streptophyta; Magnoliopsida; Solanales; Solanaceae
Description: long non-coding RNA (CANN_LNC005015)
Source: RNAcentral